UACGGGGGGAGCAAGCGUUGUUCGGAUUUACUGGGCGUAAAGGGCGCGUAGGCGGCGCGACAAGUCACUUGUGAAAUCUCCGGGCUUAACCCGGAGCGGCCAAGUGAUACUGUAGUGCUAGAGUGCGGAAGGGGCUACUGGAAUUCUCGGUGUAGCGGUGAAAUGCGUAGAUAUCGGGAGGAACACCAGUGGCGAAGGCGACUACCUGGCCCAUUCUUGACGCUGAGGCGCGAAAGCUAGGGGAGCGAACGGG
Molecule: ribosomal RNA, 253 nt
Filed under: uncultured bacterium
Lineage: Bacteria
Description: partial 16S ribosomal RNA
Rfam family: Bacterial small subunit ribosomal RNA
Source: RNAcentral